This is a long non-coding RNA of Leptidea sinapis, 406 nucleotides long. RefSeq lists it as uncharacterized. The transcript has 3 exons. The record is from RefSeq and is a predicted model, not a curated record. NCBI's taxonomy places the organism in Eukaryota, Metazoa, Arthropoda, Insecta, Lepidoptera, Pieridae.
AUAACACUAGGUUAUCACAAUUUUUCUGAUGGCUUUAAUAGUCACUCAAUUUAUUUAAUAAUGUUAUUUAUUAUUUUCAGAGAUUCCAAUGCAUAGUUUCCCAGAUGCUGUCAAUUUCUUGAGCAGUUUAAAACUUGGGUCAGUCUUGUUGGUGGAAACAUUUAGACAUCUGAUCUUGAAUGUUAUAAGAAGAAGAGAAUUUGUGAUAUACACUUUUCUGACAGACACAGAAAUCAUAAUCAAUGGCUAAGCACAUUGGCAGUUCCGAUGCUUCAUCUGCUUGGACAACUACAGAGUCAAGUAAUCUUAGGACAAGCUUCAUCCACACAACAUUUACUGCCUACAAUAAUACAGCAAGACUGUUCACAGCCAUAUGUGAGCAACUUUAUUUUAGAAAAAGCAUCAA